This is a non-coding RNA of Silurus meridionalis, 383 nucleotides long. The record is from the annotation of a RefSeq genome assembly. Lineage: Eukaryota; Metazoa; Chordata; Actinopteri; Siluriformes; Siluridae.
CAGAGAAGACCCAAGUACAAACAACACACACCAUGUUCUCUACAUCUCUACUGCUCCUGCUGGCAGCUGCUUCCUAUGUGCAUGGUGAGGAACUGACUCAGCCUGCUUCCAUGACAGUCCAGCCAGGCCAGAGUCUCUCCAUCACCUGCAAGGUUUCAUAUUCAGUUACAAGCUAUGGCACAGCUUGGAUCCGACAACCUGCAGGAAAAACUCUGGAGUGGAUUGGAAGCAUCUAUUAUGAUGGGAGCACAGCUUACAGUGACAAACUGAAAAAUAAGUUUAGCAUCACCAGAGACACGUCUACUAACACAAUAACAAUUCGAGGACAGAACAUGCAGACUAAAGACACAGCUGUGUAUUACUGCGCUCGAGACCCACAGUGA